ACUGGGUGCGGUGGCGCAUGCCUGUAGUCCCAGCUAGGGAGGCUGAGGUGGGAGGAUCGCUUGAGUCCAGGAGUUCUGGACUGUAGUGCACUCUGCUGAUCGAGUGUCUGCACUAAGUUUGUCAUCAAUAUGGUGACCUCCCAGGAGUGGGUGACCACCAGGUUGCCUAAGGAGGGGUGAACCAGCCCAGGUUGGAAAUGGAGCAGGUCAAAACUCCCAUGCUGAUCAGCAGUGGGAUCGUGCCUGUGACUAGCCACUGCACUCCAGCCUGGGCAACAUAGCGAGAUCCCAUCUCU
This 296-nucleotide signal recognition particle RNA is filed under the name Aotus nancymaae (Ma's night monkey). Its description in RNAcentral is "Metazoan signal recognition particle RNA (ENSANAG00000000429.1)". It matches the Rfam family "Metazoan signal recognition particle RNA". Rfam says of the family: The signal recognition particle (SRP) is a universally conserved ribonucleoprotein. It is involved in the co-translational targeting of proteins to membranes. The eukaryotic SRP consists of a 300-nucleotide 7S RNA and six proteins: SRPs 72, 68, 54, 19, 14, and 9. Lineage: Eukaryota; Metazoa; Chordata; Mammalia; Primates; Aotidae. The record is from RNAcentral.